GGACCCGCACAAGUAGUGGAGCAUGUGGUUUAAUUCGAAGAUACGCGCAGAACCUUACCAACACUUGACAUGUUCGUCGCGACUCUAAGAGAUUAGAGUUUUCGGUUCGGCCGGACGAAACACAGGUGCUGCAUGGCUGUCGUCAGCUCGUGUCGUGAGAUGUUGGGUUAAGUCCCGCAACGAGCGCAACCCUCACUUUUAGUUGCCAUCAUUUAGUUGGGCACUCUGAAAGAACUGCCAGUGAUAAGCUGGAGGAAGGUGGGGAUGACGUCAAGUCCUCAUGGCCCUUACGUGUUGGGCUACACACGUGCUACAAUGGUAGAUACAGAGGGCAGCUACCCCCGCGAGGGGAUGCG
Molecule: ribosomal RNA, 356 nt
Filed under: uncultured bacterium
Lineage: Bacteria
Description: bacterial SSU rRNA
Rfam family: Bacterial small subunit ribosomal RNA
Source: RNAcentral